RNAcentral lists this unclassified non-coding RNA (286 nucleotides) under fungal sp. RNAcentral's name for it is "partial internal transcribed spacer region". The stretch from base 1 to 46 matches the Rfam family "Eukaryotic small subunit ribosomal RNA", at positions 1786 to 1831 of the family's 1831-position model. Lineage: Eukaryota; Fungi. The record is from RNAcentral.
AAGUCGUAACAAGGUUUCCGUAGGUGAACCUGCGGAAGGAUCAUUAAUGAAUGAAUGUAGAGAUCGGUUGUAGCUGGGUCUUUUAAUUGAGGCCAUGUGCACGCCUUCUCUUUCAUCCACACACACCUGUGCACCUGUUUAGACGGUCGAAGGAAAAAGUCUAUCUCGCGAGAGAGAGGCCGGCUCCUUUUCCGUCCAAUACAUAAAAUCUUAUAUAUUUAAUCAGAAUGUAAUCGAUGUAAACGCAUCUAUAAACUAAGUUUCAACAACGGAUCUCUUGGCUCUC